UAUACAUCUUGUAUUCUUAUAUCACAGUCAAGUUUAUACGACGUUAUCGGUGAUGGAACUAUUGUGAUUCUUUAUUAAAGGAAUUAAUUUUUGUGUUAUUGUAAUCGAAGAGUUUCUAAUGAGGAAAUUAAAUUGUCAAGAUCUAUGGGGAGCCGACAAAUUAGAAGCUCAGUUAGAAAUCGCUCGCGAUGGACUUCGUGGUCUUGAUCGCAGUAUUCGUAAAAUUUUGGGCCGGGAACUUCCUGAUGGCGAAAGUGCUCCAUUGCAAUCGAGAGUACCUCAAAAACGACUGUUACAAGAAGAUCGCCGAAGAGCUAUAACAGACUUUGUGAAUAAUGAACUACCUGGAGGCAAACGACGCUGGCAAGGUUCUAAUGUAGAACCAAAAACAGUUUUUAGUCGAUUAAGUGCACGUAUUCCAUCUACUGCAGAUGACAGUGCUGAUGAAGAUGAUAGCAUUAUCAAGCCUGCUGUAUCAUCCAGAGUAAUAGCUACUCCUCGAGAAAUUCCUUCGCGUCAAGAGGUUAUCAGGCGAGAGAGAACAGAUGAACGUAGUCGACAGAGAAAUAAACGUAUGUUUGGUGCACUUUUGGGUACUUUACAAAAAUUUAGACAAGAGGAAACGAAACUUAAAGCAAAGGAAGAUAAAAAAGCAGAAGUAGAAGCUAGAGUAGAAGAAGCUAGACGACGAGAGAAAGAAGAAUUGCGUAGAGAAAGACAACAAUUGUUUUUAUCCCGAAAACGGCAAUUGGCUGAAGUGCGAGUAUUAGAAGCAAAGCUUGCACGUAGUCGGCAGUUUCAAGAUUGGCGUAAUGCGCAAUUGCCUCUUGCUUCAUUUAUAAAAACACAAACACAACCUUCUAUUUAUUAUGUACCAAAGCGUAAACAUCCACAGACAGAUAUGUUAUUAGCACAAUCCGUAAAAGAACUUAACGAAAACAUUGAAAGAAGACAAAACACAUUGAUUGAAGAAUUAAAUCUAAUAGAGGUUCAGAUAGGAUUAAGUAAACAGUCACAAAACUUUGAAGCGUCCUCAUCUUUACAUACCGUAGAUGCUCCACGUUUAAUAGAAAAGGGUGAAGAAAAUCGAGAUCCUAAUCCAGAACAUGAUAUCGAGACUUCAAUCAAUGAUAAUGCUGAUAUUUCAAUGCAGUCCAUAAUAAAUGAAAAUUUUAAUAAUGAUAAUGACCAUACUAUAGAGAAAAAGGAAGAAGUACAAUUGGACCAAAUUCAACCAGAUGUAAACAAUGGCUAGUAUAAAAUUUGCUAUAAUAAAAAAAGUUAUACAUAUUAUAUACAUUUGAUGAUUUGACAUAAAAUGAGGAUUUUCAUAAUAUAUAAGAUACAUGUCUAGAGUUAUCAAGAGUUGAAGAAUUUUCCCUUAAACAAAGAUGGAUAAAAGGGCCAAUUUUUACCUAAAAAGCGUAAUGUAACUUAUAAUUUUUGCAUAUAAUCUGUAUAUAUGCAUAAUUAUUAUAAUUAUUAAUAUUUUAAUUGAGUUUGAAUCGCAUCACUAGAUUUGAUGAUAUUAAUUUUAUUUGUCUAGUAAACCCAUGGAAAAGUGGUUAAAAUUUAUUUUAAAAAGAUUGAAAUGAAUCUCUUAUCAUAGUAAUAUUAAUUAGUACAUUUUGUUUGCAUUAUUUGAUCAUGUACUAUACUUAUUUGUAUAACUUCUUUAAUUAUUAAAAAUGAAAGUAUUAAAAUUAUGGAAGAAAAUGACAUUGCAGCCCUUAUAGGUAUUAUGACAAAUAGAUUUGUUACCUAGUAUCUUUAUUAUUAAGUGAUAAAUUCUAGUGAUUACUUAUGAAACAUUUGUUUAGUAGCUGUCAUCAGUGGUACUAAUAUGUCAGUAUACAUAUAAUAAUAUUUGUAUAUUAUUUGUUAUAAAUUUACAUUUGAGCAUUUCAAAA
Molecule: RNA transcript, 1910 nt
Organism: Monomorium pharaonis (pharaoh ant)
Lineage: Eukaryota; Metazoa; Arthropoda; Insecta; Hymenoptera; Formicidae
Gene: Pnn
Gene name: pinin
Exons: 6
Source: RefSeq, a predicted model, not a curated record